CUGAACUCGAAGAGAGAGGAAAGAUGACAGAGAAAACAGAGAAGCAAAGGUCGAAGGAGAAAGACGGCGGAAAGAAUUCCGGCGACCGGAAUAUAAUGUAUCCAGGUCGUCCCUUUACACCGAACCUUCCGCGGCCAAGGAGCAGCAUAAAAAAUGGCUUCUUGAAAACAGAUCAUCCAAGGGUGGGGAAUCUUAUCAUUAAAGUGUGGUUAUGGGCGGUGGCGGUGGCGGCGGCGGCGGCGGCGGCGGCGGCGCCCCCCAAACCCAAAUCAUAAAAUUGGCUUUUUGAAAAAGGAGGCCGUAACAGUGGUGAAGCCAGUUGUUCGCAAUGUUGAGUGGGUCCCGGUAACUUUAUGCUUA
Non-coding RNA from Cucurbita pepo subsp. pepo (vegetable marrow), 360 nucleotides. Lineage: Eukaryota; Viridiplantae; Streptophyta; Magnoliopsida; Cucurbitales; Cucurbitaceae. The record is from RefSeq and is a predicted model, not a curated record.